RNAcentral lists this ribosomal RNA (389 nucleotides) under uncultured microorganism. Its description in RNAcentral is "bacterial SSU rRNA". It matches the Rfam family "Bacterial small subunit ribosomal RNA", at positions 346 to 722 of the family's 1533-position model. The record is from RNAcentral.
GCGCAGCAGGCGCGAAUCUUCCACAAUGGACGAAAGUCUGAUGGAGCGACGCCGCGUGCGGGAUGAAGGCCUUAUGGGUUGUAAACCGCUGUCAGGGGGAAGAACAUCGGAAUGAACAAUACUACAUUCCGACUGACGGUUACCCCCACGAGGAAGGCUCCGGCCAACUCCGUGCCAGCAGCCGCGGGUAAUACGGGGGAGCAAGCGUUGUCCGGAAUUAUUGGGCGUAAAGGGCGUGUAGGCGGCGAGGUAAGUCGAAUGGUGAAAUCUCACGGCUCAACCGUGAAACUGCGUUCGAAACUACCCUGCUUGAGUACGGGAGAGGUGUACGGAAUUCCUGGUGUAGCGGUGGAAUGCGUAGAUAUCAGGAAGAACACCGGUGGCGAAGC